Molecule: ribosomal RNA, 1752 nt
Filed under: Salmonella enterica
Lineage: Bacteria; Pseudomonadati; Pseudomonadota; Gammaproteobacteria; Enterobacterales; Enterobacteriaceae
Description: partial 23S ribosomal RNA
Rfam family: Bacterial large subunit ribosomal RNA
Source: RNAcentral
CUGCGGCAGCGACGCUGAUGCGUUGUUGGGUAGGGGAGCGUUCUGUAAGCCUGCGAAGGUGGCCUGUGAGGGUUGCUGGAGGUAUCAGAAGUGCGAAUGCUGACAUAAGUAACGAUAAAGCGGGUGAAAAGCCCGCUCGCCGGAAGACCAAGGGUUCCUGUCCAACGUUAAUCGGGGCAGGGUGAGUCGACCCCUAAGGCGAGGCCGAAAGGCGUAGUCGAUGGGAAACGGGUUAAUAUUCCCGUACUUGGUGUUACUGCGAAGGGGGGACGGAGAAGGCUAUGUUGGCCGGGCGACGGUUGUCCCGGUUUAAGCGUGUAGGUGUGUGUUCCAGGUAAAUCCGGUUCACUUUAACACUGAGGCGUGAUGACGAGGCACUACGGUGCUGAAGCAACAAAUGCCCUGCUUCCAGGAAAAGCCUCUAAGCAUCAGGUAACAUCAAAUCGUACCCCAAACCGACACAGGUGGUCAGGUAGAGAAUACCAAGGCGCUUGAGAGAACUCGGGUGAAGGAACUAGGCAAAAUGGUGCCGUAACUUCGGGAGAAGGCACGCUGACAUGUAGGUGAAGUGAUUUACUCAUGGAGCUGAAGUCAGUCGAAGAUACCAGCUGGCUGCAACUGUUUAUUAAAAACACAGCACUGUGCAAACACGAAAGUGGACGUAUACGGUGUGACGCCUGCCCGGUGCCGGAAGGUUAAUUGAUGGGGUCAGCGCAAGCGAAGCUCCUGAUCGAAGCCCCGGUAAACGGCGGCCGUAACUAUAACGGUCCUAAGGUAGCGAAAUUCCUUGUCGGGUAAGUUCCGACCUGCACGAAUGGCGUAAUGAUGGCCAGGCUGUCUCCACCCGAGACUCAGUGAAAUUGAACUCGCUGUGAAGAUGCAGUGUACCCGCGGCAAGACGGAAAGACCCCGUGAACCUUUACUAUAGCUUGACACUGAACAUUGAGCCUUGAUGUGUAGGAUAGGUGGGAGGCUUUGAAGUGUGGACGCCAGUCUGCAUGGAGCCGACCUUGAAAUACCACCCUUUAAUGUUUGAUGUUCUAACGUGGACCCGUAAUCCGGGUUGCGGACAGUGUCUGGUGGGUAGUUUGACUGGGGCGGUCUCCUCCUAAAGAGUAACGGAGGAGCACGAAGGUUGGCUAAUCCUGGUCGGACAUCAGGAGGUUAGUGCAAUGGCAUAAGCCAGCUUGACUGCGAGCGUGACGGCGCGAGCAGGUGCGAAAGCAGGUCAUAGUGAUCCGGUGGUUCUGAAUGGAAGGGCCAUCGCUCAACGGAUAAAAGGUACUCCGGGGAUAACAGGCUGAUACCGCCCAAGAGUUCAUAUCGACGGCGGUGUUUGGCACCUCGAUGUCGGCUCAUCACAUCCUGGGGCUGAAGUAGGUCCCAAGGGUAUGGCUGUUCGCCAUUUAAAGUGGUACGCGAGCUGGGUUUAGAACGUCGUGAGACAGUUCGGUCCCUAUCUGCCGUGGGCGCUGGAGAACUGAGGGGGGCUGCUCCUAGUACGAGAGGACCGGAGUGGACGCAUCACUGGUGUUCGGGUUGUCAUGCCAAUGGCACUGCCCGGUAGCUAAAUGCGGAAGAGAUAAGUGCUGAAAGCAUCUAAGCACGAAACUUGCCCCGAGAUGAGUUCUCCCUGAGACUUUAGGUCUCCUGAAGGAACGUUGAAGACGACGACGUUGAUAGGCCGGGUGUGUAAGCGCAGCGAUGCGUUGAGCUAACCGGUACUAAUGAACCGUGAGGCUUAACCUUACA